RNAcentral lists this unclassified non-coding RNA (208 nucleotides) under soil metagenome. RNAcentral describes it as "partial contains 5.8S ribosomal RNA, internal transcribed spacer 2, and large subunit ribosomal RNA". The record is from RNAcentral.
AACCAUAGAAACCUGCGGAGUACCUGCGGAAGGAUCAUUAUCGAGUUGCAAAACUCCAACCCUUUGUGAACAUACCUCAGUCGUUGCUUCGGCGGUGGACGGCCUUUUUUCGAAAAGGCCCGAAGCCGCCGGAGGUUCCAAACUCGUGUUUUGUUUAGUGUAUCUCUGAGCCUGAAAACAAAUAAUCAAAACUUUCAGCAAUGGAUCU